CUCAAAGGGCUGGCAUGGUUAGAAUCUCGCUGGGGCCUCCAGAAAUGUUGCAGAAACAAGACCGGCGAGAAACCAAACACCACUCGGAGAGUUGGAGAACUCAGGUUUAUUA
Molecule: microRNA precursor, 112 nt
Filed under: Pteropus vampyrus (large flying fox)
Lineage: Eukaryota; Metazoa; Chordata; Mammalia; Chiroptera; Pteropodidae
Description: miRNA (ENSPVAG00000024586.1)
Source: RNAcentral